Molecule: ribosomal RNA, 497 nt
Filed under: uncultured bacterium
Lineage: Bacteria
Description: partial 16S ribosomal RNA
Rfam family: Bacterial small subunit ribosomal RNA
Source: RNAcentral
GAUGAACGCUGGCGGCGUGCCUAAUACAUGCAAGUCGAGCGAACAGACGAGGAGCUUGCUCCUCUGACGUUAGCGGCGCACGGGUGAGUAACACGUGUAUAACCUACCUAUAAGACUGGGAUAACUUCGGGAAACCGGAGCUAAUACCGGAUAAUAUAUUGAAGCGCGGGGUUCAAUAGUGAAAGACGGUUUUGCUGGCACUUAUAGAUGGAUCCGAGCCGCAUGAGGUAGUUGGUAAGGUAACGGCCUACCACGGGGACGAGGCGUAGCCGACCUGAGAGGGUGAUCGGCGACACUGGAACUUAGACACGGUCCAGGCUCCUACGGGAGGCAGCAGUAGGCAAUGUUCCGCAGAGGGCGGGAGCCUGACGGAGUGGCGCCGCGCGUGUGAUGAAGGUCUUCGGAGCGUAAAGCUCUGUUACUGGGGAAGAACAAAUGUGUAAGUAACUAUGCACGUCUUGACGGUACCGAAUAAGAAAGCCACGGCUAACUACGUG